Molecule: non-coding RNA, 619 nt
Organism: Camellia sinensis
Lineage: Eukaryota; Viridiplantae; Streptophyta; Magnoliopsida; Ericales; Theaceae
Source: RefSeq, a predicted model, not a curated record
ACUAACCUAUAAAUUCAUAAAAUGAAGACUCAACUUAACCCUAAACUCCACUAGAAGAUUCCCUACAUAUGCUCCAUGUAAUUCUUUAUUUUGUUGGAAUCCAUGUGAAAUUUCAGAUUUACCCUUUUCUUCCUAUGCUCUACAUUUUUCUUGUUGCUUGCAUAUCUCUUGUUGUGUAUGUUGAUGGUUUGGUAACGUGGCCUUCUUUCUGUAAGAGUUUACUGUAAUUGCACAUGGGAUAAGGAAAAAUAGUGGUUUGUGCAAUAGGUACCAGGAUGAUUGGCUCAAGACGUCAGCAAGCUCUCUGCAACUCUGGGAAAAGGCUCCUCUUGAACCAUAUACUCUGCAAAAACCUAUGACUUACUAUGUUGUAUGUCCAGACAUUGAUCCCCUUACUACCGCUGCUGCGGACUUUUUUUCAGCAACUUGGCACUGGUAGCUGCAACUUCUGAUCUAAUGCUUGGAUAUGUGGAUUUUUUCCUCGGUGGAGAUGAAAAAAGAGCUGACCUUCCUCCUCGCCUUCAGCAAAGAUUUCCAAUGUCUUUGUUGUUUGGAGGAGAUGGAAGUUACAUGGCUCUUUUCUCCCUUCACAGUGACAAUAUCCUCACUAGCCUCAUGA